GGGUCUUGGGGAAGGGGUGGCAGGCACUAUGUCUGGCCACGGAAGUGGCAAGAAGAAGCCCCUGAAACAGCCCAAGAAGCAGGCCAAAGAGAUAGAUGAGGAAGAUAAGGCUUUCAAGCAGAAACAAAAAGAGGAGCAGAAGAAACUUGAGGAGCUAAAAACGAAGGCCACGGAGAAGGGCCCCCUGGCCACAGGUGGAAUUAAGAAAUCUGGCAAGAAGUAAGUUGUUCCUUGUGCCUGAGAUGAUGGUGACCCUUAUUCCAUUCCUAUUUAAACAUCUGGAUUCCCUGCAUAACAUCUUUUGCCACCUAUAGCCAGAAUGAAGUGUUGCAUUAAGAGUCUGUUGUACAUUUAAGAAUAAACAACUUUUAGC
Non-coding RNA from Castor canadensis (American beaver), 373 nucleotides. NCBI's taxonomy places the organism in Eukaryota, Metazoa, Chordata, Mammalia, Rodentia, Castoridae. The record is from RefSeq and is a predicted model, not a curated record.